RNAcentral lists this ribosomal RNA (253 nucleotides) under uncultured bacterium. RNAcentral's name for it is "partial 16S ribosomal RNA". It matches the Rfam family "Bacterial small subunit ribosomal RNA", at positions 524 to 776 of the family's 1533-position model. The record is from RNAcentral.
UACGUAGGGGGCAAGCGUUGUCCGGAUUCAUUGGGCGUAAAGAGCGUGUAGGCGGCCAGGUAGGUCGGUUGUGAAAACUGGAGGCUCAACCUUCAGACGUCGACCGAAACCAUCUGGCUAGAGUCCGGGAGAGGAGAGUGGAAUUCCUGGUGUAGCGGUGAAAUUCGUAGAUAUUCGGCGGAACACCAGUGGCGAAGGCGACUCACUGGCCCGAUACUGACGCUGAGGCGCGAAAGCGUGGGGAGCAAACAGG